UGGGGAAUAUUGCACAAUGGGCGCAAGCCUGAUGCAGCCAUGCCGCGUGUGUGAAGAAGGCCUUCGGGUUGUAAAGCACUUUCAGCGGGGAGGAAGGCGGUGAGGUUAAUAACCUCAUCGAUUGCCGUUACCCGCAGAAGAAGCACCGGCUAACUCCGUGCCAGCAGCCGCGGUAAUACGGAGGGUGCAAGCGUUAAUCGGAAUUACUGGGCGUAAAGCGCACGCAGGCGGUCGGUCAAGUCGGAUGUGAAAUCCCCGGGCUCAACCUGGGAACUGCAUUCGAAACUGGCAGGCUAGAGAAUUGUAGAGGGGGGUAGAAUUCCAGGUGUAGAGGUGAAAUGCGUAGAGAUCUGGAGGAAGACCGGUGGCGAAGGCGGCCCACUGGACAAAGACUGACGCUCAGGUGCGAAAGCGUGGGGAGCAAACAGG
This 429-nucleotide ribosomal RNA is filed under the name Chloroflexota bacterium. Its description in RNAcentral is "Chloroflexi bacterium partial 16S ribosomal RNA". It matches the Rfam family "Bacterial small subunit ribosomal RNA", at positions 355 to 776 of the family's 1533-position model. Lineage: Bacteria; Bacillati; Chloroflexota. The record is from RNAcentral.